This 209-nucleotide ribosomal RNA is filed under the name uncultured eukaryote. RNAcentral's name for it is "partial 18S ribosomal RNA". It matches the Rfam family "Eukaryotic small subunit ribosomal RNA", at positions 604 to 819 of the family's 1831-position model. The record is from RNAcentral.
UUAAAGUUGUUGCAGUUAAAAAGCUCGUAGUUGAAACUUGGCCUUGGCUGUCCGGUCCGCCUCACCGCGUGCACUGGUUCGGCCGGGGCUUUCCUUCUGGGGAUCUGCAUGGCCUUCAUUGGUCGUGUGAGGGAACCAGGACUUUUACUUUGAAAAAAUUAGAGUGUUCAAAGCAGGCCUAUGCUCGAAUACAUUAGCAUGGAAUAAUA